GGGCNGUGUGCACCNNCNCUGCUNUUAAACACCUAGUAAUAGGUAUGCUUAGGGAGGAGCUUGCGUCACAUUAGUUAGUUGGUGGGGUAAAGGCCNACCAAGACUAUGAUGUGUAGCCGGGCUGAGAGGUUGAACGGCCACAUUGGGACUGAGACACGGCCCAAACUCCUACGGGAGGCAGCAGUAGGGAAUUUUCGGCAAUGGAGGAAACUCUGACCGAGCAACGCCGCGUGAACGAUGAAGUAUUUCGGUACGUAAAGUUCUUUUAUUAGGGAAGAAUAAAUGAUGGAAAAAUCAUUCUGACGGUACCUAAUGAAUAAGCCCCGGCUAACUAUGUGCCAGCAGCCGCGGUAAUACAUAGGGGGCAAGCGUUAUCCGGAAUUAUUGGGCGUAAAGGGUGCGUAGGCGGUUAAAUAAGUUUAUGGUCUAAGUGCAAUGCUCAACAUUGUGAUGCUAUAAAAACUGUUUAGCUAGAGUAAGAUAGAGGCAAGUGGAAUUCCAUGUGUAGUGGUAAAAUGCGUAAAUAUAUGGAGGAACACCAGUAGCGAAGGCGGCUUGCUGGGUCUUUACUGACGCUGAGGCACGAAAGCGUGGGGAGCAAACAGGAUUAGAUACCCUGGNUAGUCCCCGCCGUAAACGAUGAGUACUAAANCGUUGGGUAAAACCAGUGUUGAAGUUAACACAUUAAGUACUCCGCCUGAAUAGUACGUACGCNAGUAUGAAACUUAAAGGNAUUGACGGGCCCCCNCCACAANCGGUGGAUCNUGUUGUUUNAAUUCNAANGGUCCCCGAAAAACCNCCCCNGGGUUUNGACNUGCUUUCUNCAAANCUGUNAAAA
This 838-nucleotide ribosomal RNA is filed under the name 'Lilium x hybridum' phytoplasma. RNAcentral describes it as "partial 16S ribosomal RNA". It matches the Rfam family "Bacterial small subunit ribosomal RNA", at positions 173 to 1007 of the family's 1533-position model. Lineage: Bacteria; Bacillati; Mycoplasmatota; Mollicutes; Acholeplasmatales; Acholeplasmataceae. The record is from RNAcentral.